UGUGGGAGCUGGCUUGCCUGCGAUGGCGGCGGGUCAGUCAGCAGUUGUGUGAUUGAUACAACGCCAUCGCAGGCAAGCCAGCUCCCACA
RNAcentral lists this unclassified non-coding RNA (89 nucleotides) under Pseudomonas cedrina. Lineage: Bacteria; Pseudomonadati; Pseudomonadota; Gammaproteobacteria; Pseudomonadales; Pseudomonadaceae. The record is from RNAcentral.